UCCCUGGUGGCUCAGACGGUAAAGCGUCUGCCUGCAAUGCGGGAGACCCGGGUUCGAUCCCUGGGUCGGGAA
Molecule: transfer RNA, 72 nt
Filed under: Ovis aries (sheep)
Lineage: Eukaryota; Metazoa; Chordata; Mammalia; Artiodactyla; Bovidae
Rfam family: tRNA
About the family: Transfer RNA (tRNA) molecules are approximately 80 nucleotides in length.
Source: Rfam by way of RNAcentral